Molecule: ribosomal RNA, 489 nt
Filed under: uncultured bacterium
Lineage: Bacteria
Description: bacterial SSU rRNA
Rfam family: Bacterial small subunit ribosomal RNA
Source: RNAcentral
GCAAGUCGAACGGUCUUUCUAUGGAAGCUUGCUUCCACUGAGAAGAUAGUGGCGGAACGGGUGAGUAACACGUGGGUAACCUGCCCAUAAGAGGGGGAUAACAUCCGGAAACGGGUGCUAAUACCGCAUAGUUUUCUUGAUCGCAUGAUUGAGAAAGGAAAGACGGCCUUUGUGCUGUCGCUUAUGGAUGGACCCGCGGCGUAUUAGUUAGUUGGUGAGGUAACGGCUCACCAAGACGAUGAUACGUAGCCGACCUGAGAGGGUGAUCGGCCACAUUGGGACUGAGACACGGCCCAAACUCCUACGGGAGGCAGCAGUAGGGAAUCUUCCGCAAUGGACGAAAGUCUGACGGAGCAACGCCGCGUGAGUGAAAGAAGGUUUUCGGAUCGUAAAACUCUGUUGUCAGAGAAGAACAAGUUGGAGAGUAACUGCUCCAGCCUUGACGGUAUCUGACCAGAAAGCCACGGCUAACUACGUGCCAGCCGCCGC